UUAAGUUCAGCGGGUAUCCCUACCUGAUCCGAGGUCAACCAUAGAAGGGGGUUCUGGCAGGCUACCGCCUAGCCCCAGAGCGAGAGCUGUACUACGCUUGGAGCCAGACGCUGCCGCCACUGUCUUUAGGGCCCGCCGGGGCGGCGGGGCCCAACACCAAGCAGAGCUUGAGGGUUGUAAUGACGCUCGAACAGGCAUGC
RNAcentral lists this unclassified non-coding RNA (200 nucleotides) under Oidiodendron sp. Its description in RNAcentral is "partial internal transcribed spacer 2". The record is from RNAcentral. Lineage: Eukaryota; Fungi; Ascomycota; Leotiomycetes; Myxotrichaceae.